RNAcentral lists this ribosomal RNA (1318 nucleotides) under Arthrobacter ginsengisoli. RNAcentral's name for it is "bacterial SSU rRNA". The record is from RNAcentral. Lineage: Bacteria; Bacillati; Actinomycetota; Actinomycetes; Micrococcales; Micrococcaceae.
CUUGUGGGUGGAUUAGUGGCGAACGGGUGAGUAACACGUGAGKAACCUGCCCUUAACUCUGGGAUAAGCYUGGGAAACUGGGUCUAAUACCGGAUAUGACUCCUCAUCGCAUGGUGGGGGGUGGAAAGCUUUAUUGUGGUUUUGGAUGGACUCGCGGCCUAUCAGCUUGUUGGUGAGGUAAUGGCUCACCAAGGCGACGACGGGUAGCCGGCCUGAGAGGGUGACCGGCCACACUGGGACUGAGACACGGCCCAGACUCCUACGGGAGGCAGCAGUGGGGAAUAUUGCACAAUGGGCGAAAGCCUGAUGCAGCGACGCCGCGUGAGGGAUGACGGCCUUCGGGUUGUAAACCUCUUUCAGUAGGGAAGAAGCGAAAGUGACGGUACCUGCAGAAGAAGCGCCGGCUAACUACGUGCCAGCAGCCGCGGUAAUACGUAGGGCGCAAGCGUUAUCCGGAAUUAUUGGGCGUAAAGAGCUCGUAGGCGGUUUGUCGCGUCUGCCGUGAAAGUCCGGGGCUCAACUCCGGAUCUGCGGUGGGUACGGGCAGACUAGAGUGAUGUAGGGGAGACUGGAAUUCCUGGUGUAGCGGUGAAAUGCGCAGAUAUCAGGAGGAACACCGAUGGCGAAGGCAGGUCUCUGGGCAUUAACUGACGCUGAGGAGCGAAAGCAUGGGGAGCGAACAGGAUUAGAUACCCUGGUAGUCCAUGCCGUAAACGUUGGGCACUAGGUGUGGGGGACAUUCCACGUUUUCCGCGCCGUAGCUAACGCAUUAAGUGCCCCGCCUGGGGAGUACGGCCGCAAGGCUAAAACUCAAAGGAAUUGACGGGGGCCCGCACAAGCGGCGGAGCAUGCGGAUUAAUUCGAUGCAACGCGAAGAACCUUACCAAGGCUUGACAUGAACCGGAAAUACCUGGAAACAGGUGCCCCGCUUGCGGUCGGUUUACAGGUGGUGCAUGGUUGUCGUCAGCUCGUGUCGUGAGAUGUUGGGUUAAGUCCCGCAACGAGCGCAACCCUCGUUCUAUGUUGCCAGCGCGUUAUGGCGGGGACUCAUAGGAGACUGCCGGGGUCAACUCGGAGGAAGGUGGGGACGACGUCAAAUCAUCAUGCCCCUUAUGUCUUGGGCUUCACGCAUGCUACAAUGGCCGGUACAAAGGGUUGCGAUACUGUGAGGUGGAGCUAAUCCCAAAAAGCCGGUCUCAGUUCGGAUUGGGGUCUGCAACUCGACCCCAUGAAGUCGGAGUCGCUAGUAAUCGCAGAUCAGCAACGCUGCGGUGAAUACGUUCCCGGGCCUUGUACACACCGCCCGUCAAGUCACGAA